RNAcentral lists this long non-coding RNA (257 nucleotides) under Elaeis guineensis (African oil palm). RNAcentral describes it as "long non-coding RNA (EGUI_LNC052630)". Lineage: Eukaryota; Viridiplantae; Streptophyta; Magnoliopsida; Arecales; Arecaceae. The record is from RNAcentral.
CCCUUCCUCCCUCUCUUCUCUUCCAUGCCCAAGAGUUGGGCGUCCCACUUUCCACAUGCCAAAAGUCUAAGGUGAUUUUUCUUUAAGAGCAAAGAAUGAGGAGAAGAAGAAGAAGGCUACAGAUCAAAGAGUUGAUCUCACAGUCUAGACCAAAGAGUUGAUCAAAGUUAUAAGGUUGAGAUUCUACUUGAAGAAAAAGAAUCUACUAUGAGAAGAUCAGUUCGAGAUUGAUCUUAAUGGAUAUCCAUAGAGGUCGG